CGGCAGCCCUGGGGUCUCAGGCCAGAACGUGUGCGAGCCGGCUCCAACCGUGUGUCACCACAGAUUAGUGCUAUUUAAUAUCUGCUAAUGGAAUGGCACUGUCUGCCGUCGACAGCAGGAGCCAAAGCGGGCCACGCAGCUUUUAAAUUAUUAGCACUAAUUAGGCAAAUCAAAGAGGAGGAGGGCAAAGAGACCAAAGCUUGCAUGAGCAGGAAAGCAAGGGAUCGCUACCUGCCUUGUCCUGUCACGAUCGAGCUACCAAGCAGCCAAUUAGUGCCGAAGACCCUUCCGGAGUGACAAAAGAACGAGCAGGCCUGCCCCGAGCCCAGGCAGGAUGGCUUCAUUAUAAGGCUGUGAAGAAGAGGGUGAGAGGAAGUGAAUUUUCCCCUUGACACUCCACAAGCGCAAAGGACAGAGCUUUAGAGAUGGGAAAGCCCAAGAUCAAAGGUCCAGCAGGGUUCAGCUCCUGGUGACAUCUCUCCUCCUGGCUUCAGUUAACCACCUUCUCCACGUGACUUCGCUUGGGAGAGACUGAGCU
Fukomys damarensis (Damara mole-rat) is the source of this 538-nucleotide long non-coding RNA. RefSeq lists it as uncharacterized. The transcript has 3 exons. Lineage: Eukaryota; Metazoa; Chordata; Mammalia; Rodentia; Bathyergidae. The record is from RefSeq and is a predicted model, not a curated record.